Non-coding RNA from Anas platyrhynchos (mallard), 7359 nucleotides. The record is from RefSeq and is a predicted model, not a curated record. Lineage: Eukaryota; Metazoa; Chordata; Aves; Anseriformes; Anatidae.
GGGCCUGGGCACCUUGGCCUGAGGCAGCGGGACUGCCCGGCGCCACACAGGGGGAGCGGAGCUGCUUCUCCUGCUUUUCCCUCACCACUCACAGCUGGGAGGCCUCUCCUUGAGCUAGGUGUCCAAGCUGGAUGUCUCCCACCAUGAUUUGAGUCAUUAUCAGGGCAAUCCUUUUUUUUUCUUUUUUUUUUUUUCUUUUUUUUGUGUGUGUGUGUUUGUGUGUGUGUCUUUAAAUCCCCAUUCAGGCUGGCUCCUGACAGAUGUUGGAUCCAGGUGCUACACAUUUGAGGUAAAAGGUUUUUCCAGCUGAAGCUGUUGUCUUUACCCUAAAAUGGGCCAGGCAUAGAGUGAAAGAGCAGAAAAAAAGGAGGUUAAAACAAACAAACAAACAAAAAAAGGGUCCCCUUGCCUCCUGCUGAGGGUAUUUAUUUGUAGAAGAGUUGCAAGAGUGUUAAAUACCUGUGCAUAAGUUAUAAAAAGUAGAAUAGCUCCAACAGGAGAGUUACUUGCCCAGAGUGUCUGCUAGCUGAAUGAUGAAGCUGCUCUCUUCAGAGGUGCCAGAUACCAGAACAGAAAUUCAGAGCGCAAGAAAGGCAAGACAAAAGCAGACUUCUUAUCCGCGCAGCACAGGAGCACGCUCUGAUACCAUUGCCCUUGAGCAGAGCCAAGGGCAGGGCUCCUGGAUGUACGUGGCCAAGCAGCUGACAUACCUACAAAGGGGGACAGAAAAAGCUUUCUGGUACUUGUCCAUGCUUUGUUUGGGAGCAAUCUGGGAGCUGCUGUGGAAGCAAGUUUUACUGGAGCUCAGCAGCAUCUAGCUAUGCCCUUUACUGCAACGGGCUGGCACGGAAAAAACAAGCUAGAGAAACCAUCUGUCUCAAGUUCGUGUGGCAGUACCUUGCCUUCAGUCUGGUCAACUCCAAAGGGGAAGUCUCGGGGCUUCGAGUGUAGCCUUUCAAAACACUUAGAACAAACCCUAGGCAUUUGCAGAAACCACAGAGUGUACAGUUAAUACACCCAGAUGUGCUGUCAGCCCCACAGCACUGCACCGGAGUGGAUGGAGUGUGUAAAUCUUGGAAAGGUUAAAGCUGAGAGAACAGCGAUACGCAUAAAGACUUGUGUUCCUUCCAGAAGGAGGAGGGGGGCGAGGUGUUAUCAUUCGACAUUAAUCACUUACAUCUCCAACCUGCCUAAAUCCUCUGAAAAGAACCAGCAAAGAAAACACCAGCUGCUGUAGCUCCUACUUUUUCCUCAGUACCCUCCAGUCUCCCUCCCUCCUCCCUGCCUUCCCCAGACUGUGUUUAUUUUUACUGCUCGUGAAUCAGCCAGGAACUUGCUCCCUGCAACAGGAUCAGCUGAGAACAAGCUGCAGUCUGUACAUUCCCUGCAAGCUUGGUUUUGUUUGGGAGCUUACGAUCAGCAGCAAAACAGUGGAGAAAAGUAGAGAAAGUGAUACACGUCUUCGUUCUCACCCGGAGUGAUGGGACUUUCAUUCCGCGUAGAGCGGGACUUCCCCAGCUCUCUGUGAGCAUAUGUCAGCUUUCACUAGAGAUUUUAAGCACGCUUGGUUUAUGAAAGAACGCUGUCAUCACUUAAGCAGUGAGUGCUUCGGGAAAGCAACCAUUGUUUUGUAUAGGUGUGCUGCACUCCCCCAAUAAUCCUGACUGAUGGCACCCAAACACCGCACGCUGACACAAAUAGCACGGCAGCUCGCCCGUCAGCAGUGGCUGUUUCUUCUCAGUUUGCUGCAGUGCAAGAACUCUUCAGUCUUGAGUAGCAGAAGGACUCCCCCACCCUGAGCACACAAGCCCCGGUGUCAGAGAAAUCGCUGCCCUGCGUGGCGAAAGUCCUCGUGGGUGACAGCCAGGCACGUGAUGAAGGGGGUAACGAAGAAUGGCAAUUAGUGACAGAGAAGUGAAUGGUGGGAAGGAGACAGAGGGAGAGGGGAAUGAGAGGAAAAAAAUGGGAAGAAAAAAAGGAAUUGAAACACACCUCCAAAAAAGUGUUUGUAGGAAACCAGGAAAAGGAAAGGGCCAAUGUGACCAAAUCAUCCCUAGGAGAAGGAGCACCGCCCUCAGCCUUCUCUCUGGUGCCUGGCUGAAGCUACCCCCUGCAGCCAGAGCACCUGCGGGGCCAAGACCUGUCCCACACUCGGUCCUCAAGCAGCAAGACUGUGGGGAAGCCAGGUUUGGAGUCUGGUCAUCCACAGAGCGAGGAAAUCCUUAUUUACAGCUACACCCAAAUGCGGGUUUUCUCCAGGCUCUUGUGUUCCAGCAGUCUGAAGGCCGCCCCAACACUUGCCAUCCGGCUGAUCACUUGUCACCCGACUCCCACCCAGUUUCGGCUCAUACCCCACUGCCAGGCACGGCCGCUGGGCUUGUCGCCAUGCCGAGCCGAGGAGCACCCGACUCGUGGAGAGGUGCAGGUCCCGCGGCGUGCACCGGGAGGCUGCCUCCUCGCUGGGGCACGCCUGGUGCACAGCUAAUCGCUUUCUGAUUGAGGCGGCUGCUUGCUGCCAGGACUUCUCUGCCAAAAGAUAGCCGUAUAAUACUGAUAAUCAGGCGCCCGGCGAAGAUAAAAUGCCUGUUGCUUGCCUCUAGCUGAAGAGUAUCAUGUUGACAGGCUCCUUAUUACGGCAAGCCGUUUGUGCUAUGGAAAAAGCAGAGCCUUUUACUGAAAAAAAAGUAAAAAUCUUAUCUCGGCCUAGAAGUGCAGAAAGUGCAAUUAAUUAAUUUGUUUCUGGAGUCUGACCUCUAGGCACAAUAGAUAGCAACGAGCUAUAUAUUGUAAUUACAGGACACGGCAAGCCUAGCCUACAGCUCGUAGCUGAGGGCAGUGCGAGGAGCGGAGGAUUGGUGUUGAAGGCGGUGGGAUGACUAACACACCGUAACAACCCAACUGGUGGGGCGAGAGGAACAGGCACCUGAAACAGCAGCUGGUGUCCUGCUGAAUAGUGAUGCCAUUUCCUAUUUCCAUUGCCUUCCUCUAGCCUGCAGCCACCUUGUCCCAGCAGCACCGAGUGACACAUGGCGUGCAGGACAGCGCUGCCCCACGUGCGGCUGGUGCCGUGCUCAUGCUCACCCCUGUGCUCCUCAUCCUCCCUCGGGAGCGCUGUGGGAUUUUCCCAGGGUGCACACCACAGGCAGGCAAACACAGGUGACAGUGACAGUACCCUUCUGAGAGACUUGCUCUAAUGAUACCCUUUAAUUUGCCUGGAAAAGCAAGGAAGGAAAAGAUAAAGAGCUACACCCUGCAGCCCUUAAUCUUGGAAGAUGCUUUUGAAAAAUAAGGCCAGUAAGCGAGCUCCUGUGUCAGACAUCCCCGCUCAGGCUGUGAAGAAACCAUUGUUUCACGGCACUGCAGCUUGUGUUGUGAUCCUUAAAUCUCAGAAGUCCAGCCAGGUCUCGUGUCAGCCUCAGCAGAGACAGGAAACGGUGCUGGUGAGUUGGUAGGUGACCCUUUUCUUCCUGAGAAAGCAACACCCCAUGGUGUCAAGAGAACAUAACGCUGCUUGCAGGUCUGUCCUUUUGAGGAGAGUGAAAACGGAGGAGAGCAAAGACCUUGUGACUCCUUUUGUAAUUACACAUCCCCUCGUGCUCGCUGGUAUCAAGGACAAUGUUGUCCUCCCUAGUGUCAUUCUGUUGACCUACAAUUCCCAUUGACUGUUUUUUCUUUUCUCUAUUUUUUUUUUAACAUGGUGUGAUAUUCUUCAUUCUGUCUCUUAAGUACAUACAUAGAAAAAAAAUAUCCUGUAACCUCACUGGGAAUGUCUGGUGGAAAUUUUUCACAACUGCAUUUCUAUGUUUCUGAAAGUAGGACACAUCAGUGUGAAAGAAAUGAUGCUCAACCCAAUCUCUGUCACCUCAUUACUCUUGAGCUCCAGCUUAAUUACCUCCCUGAUGCUUUGCACAGCUCUUAACCAGACAUGCGGUGUCUGCUUAAAAAUCUGCCAUACAAAAUGAAGUGAUGACUAUAUAUCCUCUUUCUGCUGGGAGAUGAGCUGUGAGGUUUGGUAAAUAUAAUUUCUAGAGAACCCAGAAGGUGCAUCACAUUGUGCAGGCCUGGUUCCGCACCGCAGACAACUUACUGGAGUUCACAGAUGACUUACAAAGACCCACCGAAACCAGGCUCGAAGGUCAUAUCGCAAAAUUCAUUUAAAGAUAAUAACAAAGUUUUAACCCCAAUAAAUUUGUGGUUUAUUGUUUACAGCUCCAAAGACAGAAGUUACGCUACCAGCUACCAAAUUCUGACCUCCUGUGUCUCACUAUGACUGUACUGACGCCAGUGGGACUGCGAGACAGAUGAAUUUGAUGGUUUAUUUUCGGAAAGUUUUUGAGCUUUGUGUGAAAGUCCAUACCUCAAAGUGUCUGUGUGGGAAGUGUUUGAACCCCACGCAAAACUUCCUCCUGGUUCAAACACAGGCCUAAGGCUGCCAUUUCAGUAGCCCUGUUUUAUUCCAGUAACCCUCCAAAAUGUAAGCAAGGUACACACUGAAACUUUAUUUCACAGCCUUGAGAAUUGGUAACAUGCUAGUUUUAAGAGUACAAAAUAAUAUAAGGUAUAACCACCAAGUUACUAUAAUUUUGUCCAUGGAGAAUAUAAACGGGGAGCUCAACCCAGGCACUUAAUAAUACAGUAAAUAUGCAUCCCUUAUCUUCCCUGACAGAGAAGCUUUCCAAAAUCUGGGUGGUACUUCAAAUCCAUGAAGUCCCUUUCCAGCAAACAAUCUUUUUGUGUCUCACUGCAGAUAGGCUUUGGUUUUUGCUACUAUAGUAAUGUGGUGCAUCAGAGUUUCAAGAAACUUAUCUAUUUCCUGGUUUCCCUCACAAUCAAUAAAUCACAGCUAACGUUGCUAUUACACAAUGAAAGUCAGUGUUUGGUGGAUUCAGGGUUACACUUAGCCUAUCUGUGACAACAAUUCUAUGGAAAUAAAAAAUAAUAUUAAAUAAAAUAUGAGGUAUUCACGAAGAUGAAUAGCGGUGUUUAGGAUAAAGCUCAGGGCACAUGCACUAGAUCCUAAGACAUGACAGAAGACCUUCAGUCUCUUAUGGAGAGCUUCUCUCUGGAAGUUGACCUCACUGUUGCCUCAGCAGCUUCCUGGUGGCAUAUCUUGCUCUCAGAAAGAUCUUUCAGAAAUGUCCAGUUUAGUUCUGAACCUAUGUUCAGAAUUUCCUUUUCAUUAUUAUUGGCUGAUCAGGCAAAUCAUACCACUUUGUGUACUUAUAUAGUGUUCAGUAGCUCUCUGAUUGUUGUCCCUCUGCAUGUCCUUUACUUCUUUACAGGCUGACAUUUGCCUGUACCUUGGUCAUCUGCUGACUGCUGUGUUGGAAAUCUACUUAGCACUAGGAAAAAGUGUUCACUUCUCUUGUUAGAAUUUUUCUUCUUUAUUUCCCUGGCACAGAACUUGGGGAUAUUUUGGCAGCUGUUUCAGGGUUAACUGCCUUUCUGCCCAACCAGCUGCUGUUAAAUUUUGGGCCCAGAAAACUUUCCCUAUGCCCACUGAUCUCUGAUCUGGUGAGGCUAGGAGGGCACUGAGGUGUGCAUCUCUGUUUUUCCAGUGCUAAUGAUAGGGUGGUAAAGGGGUGGUGGUGUUCCUGGGGUUUUGCUGUGGUACUGCCUCUUUUUGCUGCGCAUAGUUACACUGUGACGAGGUAUGCCUGAACUCACAGAUCAAAGUGAGUUACCAGAAUGAUCCACUUGUGAGCUGUGGGCCAUUAUCUGUUAUUAACUCAUCUCGAGCAGCAUGGUCAGCAAACUGUAAUUUGCAGUAUGUUAUUACAUUUCUGCGCUGCGGUGUGCGGCAGCUGAGUGUGUGUGUGUGAGAUAGCCCAGAACGAGCAGUAAUCUUUUCUAGCUCGUUCAAAUAGAUCCUUGCCAACUUCUUCUAAAGUUGAUCAAGAAUUUAAUUUGCUUCUGAUAAUCCUGUUUUUCUGCUUCCUGCCCCUCCCUGCACGCUGAGCAGAGCAGAGGUUUCACCUUCUCUGUUUCUCUCCAGUACAAGCCUGCUUCCAGGAAAACUUGGAAGCACAGCAGCAACCUCCUCCAGUUCUCUGCCAGAUUUCCUUCAGGAUUUAAUGAUUCAGGUGGCUUCAUUUGCUAAAUUUUUGCCAAAAAAAGUAGUUCUCUACUGACACCAUAUAAUAAAGUUGAGCAAACAGGAGGGUUGGUAGGAGACUUAUUUUUAUUGCCUGGCUCUGGUCACAUGACAGAUCAGGUUACAAAAUACUAGUGCCCCUGCCAGCUCUUAGGAUCCACCAAUUCCUCCUGCUACUGUUUUAAUCCAACCUGUCUUGUCUUUUUCCUUUUAUUUAUUUUUUAUUUUUUGCUGGGGGUAGAGGGUGAGGGGAAAGGUAUUGCGCUGGGGCAGGAGAUAAAGUGAAAAGCAAGUGUAUCAUGAUUGGGAGUAUCCCUUUAGCUCCUUCUGUGUUUGUUCAGCACUUUUUCACCAGCUGAGUAGCUUAUUGCCUCCGAGUGUUGGCAGCCUUUGGCAAAGUUAAAGCAAUGUCAGCAUUUCCCUGUUCCAUCUAUUUUUUGGAAAAGAAUUGUUAAAAAUAUUACAUUUUCACCUUGUUUGCAAGUUGCGAUGAAGGCUUCUCCCCUAAUUAAAUUGUGACAUUCUGGCUUGAAAAACAGCUCCACGAUCGGGAAGAUAAGCUAACAGUAACAACAAAAAUCCUCUGCUGCACUUAUGGAAAGAAAUUCAGCAAGUCAGUGGAGCUGCUUCUUUUAUUAGCAGUGAGACCCAAAUCUUUUCAGAAAAAAAAAAAAAAAAAAAAAAAAAAAAAAAGCUGAUGAAACGUAGAUUUUAAAAAUGUUAACUUUACACAACUCUAGAGUUCUAUAUCAUAACAGUAAAAUCCUCUAUUAACAGGGAAAACCUUUCAGUUUGUACAAAAGCAAUCCCAGCACUACCUUGUGAAGAGGCAGAAAUUGAAAUUGUAAGCUGGAAGCUGUGGCAUUGCACAGUACUGACAGUUACAGUAUGCGAACAUCUGUGAGUGCAACAGGAGAUGGUAGGGCUCCUCGCUGUGUAAUCUGUGUUUUACUGACACCAAGCAACGUCAAGAGGAAUCGAACAGUCAGAGCUUCUGGUAGAAGUUUCUCUCUCUCUCUCUGUUUGCAUACCUUGGUAUAUAACCUAUUGUGAAACAAAGGCUCUCCAAAACCGUACAUUUCUAAAAACUUCUCAUGUUUUAGAUACCUACAGUAAGUCAUUUGUCACACACUGGAGACACACAUGCUAUCUCCAACAGAUUUUGAACAGUUGUCCCCUGCUUCUCUGUAUUCCCUUUGUCUGGAACCUGUGGUCUCCUCACUUGUGGUUUGUUUUUCUUGCUCGUCUGCUCUGAAAUACUUACU